Molecule: ribosomal RNA, 492 nt
Filed under: uncultured bacterium
Lineage: Bacteria
Description: partial 16S ribosomal RNA
Rfam family: Bacterial small subunit ribosomal RNA
Source: RNAcentral
AGUGAACGCUGGCGGUAGGCCUAACACAUGCAAGUCGAACGGCAGCACAGUUAGAGCUUGCUCUUACGGGUGGCGGGUGGCGGACGGGUGAGGAAUACAACGUAAUCUACUUUUUCGUGGGGGUUCACGUAGGGAAACUUAAGCUAAUACCGCAUACGACCUUGGGUGGAAAGCAGUGGAUCUUCGGACCUUGCGCGAUUGAAUGCGCCGAUGUUGGAUUAGCUAGUUGGCGGGGUACAGGCCCACCAAGGCGACGAUCCGUAGCUGGUCUGAGAGUAUGAUCAGCCACACUGGAACUGAGACACGGUCCAGACUCCUAAGGGAGGCAGCAGUGGGGAAUAUUGGACAAUGGGCGCAAGCCUGAUCCAGCCAUACCGCGUGGGUGAAGAAGGCCUUCGGGUUGUAAUGCCCUUUUGUUGGGAAAGAAAAGCAGCAGGUUAAUACCCCGCUGUUCUGACGGUACCCAAAGAAUAAGCACCGGCUAACUACGUG